Molecule: transfer RNA, 96 nt
Filed under: Anopheles gambiae (African malaria mosquito)
Lineage: Eukaryota; Metazoa; Arthropoda; Insecta; Diptera; Culicidae
Rfam family: tRNA
About the family: Transfer RNA (tRNA) molecules are approximately 80 nucleotides in length. Their secondary structure includes four short double-helical elements and three loops (D, anti-codon, and T loops).
Source: Rfam by way of RNAcentral
CCUUCGAUAGCUCAGUUGGUAGAGCGGUGGACUGUAGAAGCAAAAGUUCGAUAUAGAGUAAUCCAUAGGUCACUGGUUCAAAUCCGGUUCGAAGGA